UUAGGACGCUCUAUAAUCAAGAUGCAAGUGGAAUACAUUAGUUCGACCCUCAGCUUUUCCGUGCCAUGAUCGAGAUUUCUUUCCGGUUUUUAGCCAUCAAAUUUCUACCACCUUCUUCUCAUUUCACAUCUCUCUAUUCUCCUUGGUAAGAGAGAGGUGCCAAUGGCCAAACCCUAGCUAGGCCAGUCAUCACUUCCACUUGCUGUUCAAGCAGUGAGUGUUGAUUAAAUAAUCAUGGGCUACACGUCGUUUCCUACUAAUCUGUUAAUCUGAUUGAUACGACGAUCCACGAUAUCUCUUCAAGCUUCUCAAGAAUCAAUCAGGGAGCUCAGCUCAUGAACUACCAGCACACAGGACACUAGGAAGCAGGAAGCUCGUGCUCAGCGUCUGCAUCGCCCGAGCGAUCUCUUAGCGGACCAAGACGCUUCAGGUGGAUACAAAAAUGUAUAAUUAGUUUUCUACUCUCUGCUUUAGUACGGCAACAUUUUUAUUUUUCUCCCCGGAGUCUUUUUGCAGAUCGAAACACCCAAUCAUCAACAGGAGCGGUCUCCAGACUCAAAAUCCCAAAAUGGCUGUUUCCCAUCACUAAGUGGCCACUUGUCAGCAUCACAUGCGCAUGCGUGGGAGCCAACUCUCUUAAAAUAAUUCGAAGGUAGUGACCUUCUGUUUCCAAGAGAAUUUUCCUUCCUUGGUCCACUGAAUUUAUUUUAUAUAUAUAUAUCUAUAUAUGCUGUAUUGUGUGUACAUUUAGG
Molecule: long non-coding RNA, 752 nt
Filed under: Populus tremula
Lineage: Eukaryota; Viridiplantae; Streptophyta; Magnoliopsida; Malpighiales; Salicaceae
Description: long non-coding RNA (PTRE_LNC001840)
Source: RNAcentral